AGAGUUUGAUCAUGGCUCAGGACGAACGCUGGCGGCGUGCCUAAUACAUGCAAGUAGAACGCUGAAGAGAGGAGCUUGCUCUUCUUGGAUGAGUUGCGAACGGGUGAGUAACGCGUAGGUAACCUGCCUUGUAGCGGGGGAUAACUAUUGGAAACGAUAGCUAAUACCGCAUAACAAUGGAUGACACAUGUCAUUUAUUUGAAAGGGGCAAUUGCUCCACUACAAGAUGGACCUGCGUUGUAUUAGCUAGUAGGUGAGGUAACGGCUCACCUAGGCGACGAUACAUAGCCGACCUGAGAGGGUGAUCGGCCACACUGGGACUGAGACACGGCCCAGACUCCUACGGGAGGCAGCAGUAGGGAAUCUUCGGCAAUGGGGGCAACCCUGACCGAGCAACGCCGCGUGAGUGAAGAAGGUUUUCGGAUCGUAAAGCUCUGUUGUAAGUCAAGAACGAGUGUGAGAGUGGAAAGUUCACACUGUGACGGUAGCUUACCAGAAAGGGACGGCUAACUACGUGCCAGCAGCCGCGGUAAUACAUAGGUCCCGAGCGUUGUCCGGAUUUAUUGGGCGUAAAGCGAGCGCAGGCGGUUUGAUAAGUCUGAAGUUAAAGGCUGUGGCUCAACCAUAGUUCGCUUUGGAAACUGUCAAACUUGAGUGCAGAAGGGGAGAGUGGAAUUCCAUGUGUAGCGGUGAAAUGCGUAGAUAUAUGGAGGAACACCGGUGGCGAAAGCGGCUCUCUGGUCUGUAACUGACGCUGAGGCUCGAAAGCGUGGGGAGCGAACAGGAUUAGAUACCCUGGUAGUCCACGCCGUAAACGAUGAGUGCUAGGUGUUGGAUCCUUUCCGGGAUUCAGUGCCGCAGCUAACGCAUUAAGCACUCCGCCUGGGGAGUACGACCGCAAGGUUGAAACUCAAAGGAAUUGACGGGGGCCCGCACAAGCGGUGGAGCAUGUGGUUUAAUUCGAAGCAACGCGAAGAACCUUACCAGGUCUUGACAUCCCGAUGCUAUUUCUAGAGAUAGAAAGUUACUUCGGUACAUCGGUGACAGGUGGUGCAUGGUUGUCGUCAGCUCGUGUCGUGAGAUGUUGGGUUAAGUCCCGCAACGAGCGCAACCCCUAUUGUUAGUUGCCAUCAUUCAGUUGGGCACUCUAGCGAGACUGCCGGUAAUAAACCGGAGGAAGGUGGGGAUGACGUCAAAUCAUCAUGCCCCUUAUGACCUGGGCUACACACGUGCUACAAUGGUUGGUACAACGAGUUGCGAGUCGGUGACGGCAAGCUAAUCUCUUAAAGCCAAUCUCAGUUCGGAUUGUAGGCUGCAACUCGCCUACAUGAAGUCGGAAUCGCUAGUAAUCGCGGAUCAGCACGCCGCGGUGAAUACGUUCCCGGGCCUUGCACACACCGCCCGUCA
Molecule: ribosomal RNA, 1407 nt
Filed under: uncultured bacterium
Lineage: Bacteria
Description: 16S ribosomal RNA
Rfam family: Bacterial small subunit ribosomal RNA
Source: RNAcentral